Molecule: transfer RNA, 73 nt
Filed under: Callogobius okinawae
Lineage: Eukaryota; Metazoa; Chordata; Actinopteri; Gobiiformes; Gobiidae
Description: tRNA-Asp
Rfam family: tRNA
About the family: Transfer RNA (tRNA) molecules are approximately 80 nucleotides in length. Their secondary structure includes four short double-helical elements and three loops (D, anti-codon, and T loops). Further hydrogen bonds mediate the characteristic L-shaped molecular structure. tRNAs have two regions of fundamental functional importance: the anti-codon, which is responsible for specific mRNA codon recognition, and the 3' end, to which the tRNAs corresponding amino acid is attached (by aminoacyl-tRNA synthetases). tRNAs cope with the degeneracy of the genetic code in two manners: having more than one tRNA (with a specific anti-codon) for a particular amino acid; and 'wobble' base-pairing, i.e. permitting non-standard base-pairing at the 3rd anti-codon position.
Source: RNAcentral
AAGAUGCUAGUAUAAGAGAAAAGUACACUGCCUUGUCAAGACAGAAUUGUGGGUUAGAACCCCGCGCAUCUUA